This 254-nucleotide ribosomal RNA is filed under the name uncultured prokaryote. RNAcentral describes it as "partial 16S ribosomal RNA". It matches the Rfam family "Bacterial small subunit ribosomal RNA", at positions 524 to 777 of the family's 1533-position model. The record is from RNAcentral.
UACGGAGGAUGCAAGCGUUAUCCGGAUUCAUUGGGUUUAAAGGGUGCGUAGGCGGGCUAUUAAGUCAGUGGUGAAAUCCUGCAGCUUAACUGCAGAACUGCCGUUGAUACUGAUAGUCUUGAGUUUGGUUAAGGUAGUCGGAAUGUGUAAUGUAGCGGUGAAAUGCUUAGAUAUUACACAGAACACCAAUUGCGUAGGCAGCUUACUGAGCCGACACUGACGCUGAGGCACUAAAGCGUGGGGAUCAAACAGGA